Molecule: ribosomal RNA, 253 nt
Filed under: uncultured bacterium
Lineage: Bacteria
Description: partial 16S ribosomal RNA
Rfam family: Bacterial small subunit ribosomal RNA
Source: RNAcentral
UACGUAGGGCGCAAGCGUUGUCCGGAAUUAUUGGGCGUAAAGAGCUCGUAGGCGGCCAGUUGCGUCUGCUGUGAAAUCCCGGGGCUCAACCCCGGGCGUGCAGUGGAUACGGGCUGGCUAGAGGCAGGCAGGGGAGAUCGGAAUUCCCGGUGUAGCGGUGAAAUGCGCAGAUAUCGGGAGGAACACCGGUGGCGAAGGCGGUUCUCUGGGCCUGUACUGACGCUGAGGAGCGAAAGCGUGGGGAGCGAACAGG